CCUCCAAAGAAAAGGUCUGUGGUUGCUGAAGAGAGUCCCUAAUAUGCCACAUGCUGUGUGUGGUCCCUUGGGCAGAACAAGAAUAGAGGUUGGGGUGCGUGUGUGUGCGCACGGUUGUGUGUGUGUGGUCUACAUGUGGGGUGUGUGUGUGUGUGUGUGUGUGGUUGGUGUAUGGAGUGGACACUUGUGUGUGGUACGUAUGUGUGGUGUGUUUGCAUGUGUGUGUGGUCUGUGUGCAGUGUUUGUGCAUGUGUGGUGUGUAUGUGCUUGGUGUGUGGAGUGCACACGUGUAUGGUGUGUGUGUAUGUGAGUGUGCACACAUGUGUGUGUCUAUGUGUGGUAUGUGCGGUGUGCACAGUUUUGUGGUAUGUGUGUGUACAACUCUGUGCGUGUGUGUGGUCUAUGUGUGGCAUGCACAGUUUUGUGUGGGUAUGUGUGUGCAUAGUUGUGUGUGUGUGUGUGUGUGUGUGGUGUGCACAGUUGUGUGUGUGUAUGGUCUAUGUGGUGUGUAUAUGUGUGGUCUAUGUGUGGUGUGUAUGCAUGUGUGGUGUGUGUGUGUGGUAUGUAUGUGUGGUAUGUGUGUGCUUGGCGUGUGGAGGUCACACGUGUGUGGUGUGUGUGUAUGUGAGUGUACACACACGUGUGUGUCUCUGUGUGUGGUCUCUGUGUGGUGUGCACAGUUUUGUGUGUGUGUGCACAAUUGUGUGUGUGUGGUCUAUGUGUGGUGUGUGUGGUGUGCAGUUUUGUGUGGGUAUGUGUGUGCACAGUUGUGUGUGUGUAUGGUCUAUGUGGUGUGUGGUCUAUGUGUGCUGUGUAUGCAUGUGUGGUGUGUGUGUGCUUGGCGUGUGGAGGUCACACAUGUGUGGUGUGUGUGAGUGCACACACGUGUGUGUCUCUGUGUGGUCUUUGUGUGGUGUGCACACACGUGUGUGUGUGUGCGCGUGCAGGGAGGGGGAAGCUGAGUGGUCCCCAGACUCCCGACCUCGGGACACCCCCCCCUGCGGCCCCAGCUCUGGC
RNAcentral lists this long non-coding RNA (1017 nucleotides) under Vulpes vulpes (red fox). Its description in RNAcentral is "lncRNA (ENSVVUG00000028621.1)". The record is from RNAcentral. Lineage: Eukaryota; Metazoa; Chordata; Mammalia; Carnivora; Canidae.